RNAcentral lists this ribosomal RNA (405 nucleotides) under uncultured bacterium. RNAcentral describes it as "bacterial SSU rRNA". It matches the Rfam family "Bacterial small subunit ribosomal RNA", at positions 29 to 456 of the family's 1533-position model. The record is from RNAcentral.
AACGAACGCUGGCGGCAUGCCUAACACAUGCAAGUCGAACGAAGCCUUCGGGCCUUAGUGGCGCACGGGUGCGUAACGCGUGGGAAUCUGCCCUUGGGUUCGGAAUAACAGUUAGAAAUGACUGCUAAUACCGGAUGAUGACGAAAGUCCAAAGAUUUAUCGCCCAAGGAUGAGCCCGCGUAGGAUUAGGUAGUUGGUGGGGUAAAAGGCCCUACCAAGCCGACGAUCCUUAGCUGGUCUGAGAGGAUGAUCAGCCACACUGGGACUGAGACACGGCCCAGACUCCUACGGGAGGCAGCAGUGGGGAAUAUUGGGACAAUGGGGGCAACCCUGAUCCAGCAAUGCCGCGUGAGUGAUGAAGGCCUUAAGGGUCGUAAAGCUCUUUUACCAGGGAUGACUAAUGAC